GAUGAACGCUGGCGGCGUGCCUAAUACAUGCAAGUCGAGCGAACGGACGAGAAGCUUGCUUCUCUGAUGUUAGCGGCGGACGGGUGAGUAACACGUGGAUAACCUACCUAUAAGACUGGGAUAACUUCGGGAAACCGGAGCUAAUACCGGAUAAUAUUUUGAACCGCAUGGUUCAAAAGUGAAAGACGGUCUUGCUGUUACUUAUAGAUGGAUCCGCGCUGCAUUAGCUAGUUGGUAAGGUAACGGCUUACCAAGGCAACGAUGCAUAGCCGACCUGAGAGGGUGAUCGGCCACACUGGAACUGAGACACGGUCCAGACUCCUACGGGAGGCAGCAGUAGGGAAUCUUCCGCAAUGGGCGAAAGCCUGACGGAGCAACGCCGCGUGAGUGAUGAAGGUCUUCGGAUCGUAAAACUCUGUUAUUAGGGAAGAACAGAUGUGUAAGUAACUGUGCACAUCUUGACGGUACCUAAUCAGAAAGCCACGGCUAACUACGUG
This 497-nucleotide ribosomal RNA is filed under the name uncultured bacterium. Its description in RNAcentral is "partial 16S ribosomal RNA". It matches the Rfam family "Bacterial small subunit ribosomal RNA", at positions 28 to 507 of the family's 1533-position model. The record is from RNAcentral.